AACCUUUACACUGCACGCCAGUGCGAUAAGGGGACUCCAAGUGCGAGGGCAUAUAGUCCUCGCUUUUCUGGACCGUAAGGGGGUCCAGGAACAAGGGCUGGGCAAGACCGGUGCCAGCCGCCGCGGUAAUACUGGCAGCCCAAGUGAUGGCCGCUCUUAUUGGGCCUAAAGCGUCCGUAGCUGGCCAGGCAAGUCCGUCGGGAAAUCCGCACGCCCAACGUGCGGGCGUCCGGUGGAAACUGCCUGGCUUGGGACCGGAAGACCUGAGGGGUACGUCCGGGGUAGGAGUGAAAUCCCGUAAUCCUGGACGGACCACCGGUGGCGAAAGCGCCUCAGGAAGACGGAUCCGACGGUGAGGGACGAAAGCUCGGGUCACGAACCGGAUUAGAUACCCGGGUAGUCCGAGCUGUAAACGAUGUCUGCUAGGUGUGACACAGGCUACGAGCCUGUGUUGUGCCGUAGGGAAGCCGUGAAGCAGACCGCCUGGGAAGUACGUCCGCAAGGAUGAAACUUAA
This 515-nucleotide ribosomal RNA is filed under the name uncultured archaeon. Its description in RNAcentral is "bacterial SSU rRNA". It matches the Rfam family "Archaeal small subunit ribosomal RNA", at positions 345 to 859 of the family's 1478-position model. The record is from RNAcentral.